GGUCUGCUGUGGCUCUCGUCGAAGGCAAUCUAUCCCAGAGACCUUAAUUUCUUCGAAGGGAUCUGUCCCUGUCCGGCCCCGUGGGGCCGGGCACAUGGAGCCCACCUGGUUAACCAGGUCCGAGGGGAUAAAACCGUCCUUCACGGCUCUCGCGGCGCCGCC
Molecule: non-coding RNA, 162 nt
Organism: Phenylobacterium sp. Root1277
Lineage: Bacteria; Pseudomonadati; Pseudomonadota; Alphaproteobacteria; Caulobacterales; Caulobacteraceae
Rfam family: 6S / SsrS RNA
About the family: E. coli 6S RNA was the first non coding RNA to be sequenced, but its function was unknown until recently. It consists of 184 nucleotides that fold into an extended hairpin structure with a large single-stranded internal bulge.
Source: Rfam